AGACGAGUGGCGAACGGGUGAGUAACACGUGGGUAACCUGCCCUUGAAGUAGGGGAUAACACUUGGAAACAGGUGCUAAUACCGUAUAACAACCAAAACCACCUGGUUUUGGUUUAAAAGACGGCUUCGGCUGUCACUUUAGGAUGGACCCGCGGCGCAUUAGCUUGUUGGUAAGGUAACGGCUUACCAAGGCGAUGAUACGUAGCCGACCUGAGAGGGUAAUCGGCCACAUUGGGACUGAGACACGGCCCAAACUCCUACGGGAGGCAGCAGUAGGGAAUCUUCCACAAUGGACGAAAGUCUGAUGGAGCAACGCCGCGUGAGUGAUGAAGGGUUUCGGCUCGUAAAACUCUGUUGUUGGAGAAGAACAGGUGUCAGAGUAACUGUUGACAUCUUGACGGUAUCCAACCAGAAAGCCACGGCUAACUACGUGCCAGCAGCCGCGGUAAUACGUAGGUGGCAAGCGUUGUCCGGAUUUAUUGGGCGUAAAGCGAGCGCAGGCGGUUUUUUAGGUCUGAUGUGAAAGCCUUCGGCUUAACCGGAGAAGUGCAUCGGAAACCGGGAGACUUGAGUGCAGAAGAGGACAGUGGAACUCCAUGUGUAGCGGUGAAAUGCGUAGAUAUAUGGAAGAACACCAGUGGCGAAGGCGGCUGUCUGGUCUGUAACUGACGCUGAGGCUCGAAAGCAUGGGUAGCGAACAGGAUUAGAUACCCUGGUAGUCCAUGCCGUAAACGAUGAGUGCUAAGUGUU
This 750-nucleotide ribosomal RNA is filed under the name uncultured bacterium. Its description in RNAcentral is "bacterial SSU rRNA". It matches the Rfam family "Bacterial small subunit ribosomal RNA", at positions 89 to 824 of the family's 1533-position model. The record is from RNAcentral.